GACGAACGCUGGCGGCGUGCUUAACACAUGCAAGUCGAACGGAAAGGCCCUGCUUUUGUGGGGUGCUCGAGUGGCGAACGGGUGAGUAACACGUGAGUAACCUGCCCUUGACUUUGGGAUAACUUCAGGAAACUGGGUCUAAUACCGGAUAGGGGCUCCUGCUGCAUGGUGGGGGUUGGAAAGGUUCGGCGGUUGGGGAUGGACUGGCGGCUUAUCAGCUUGUUGGUGGGGUAGUGGCUUACCAAGGCUUUGACGGGUAGCCGGCCUGAGAGGGUGACCGGCCACAUUGGGACUGAGAUACGGCCCAGACUCCUACGGGAGGCAGCAGUGGGGAAUAUUGCACAAUGGGCGGAAGCCUGAUGAAGCAACGCCGCGUGCGGGAUGACGGCCUUCGGGUUGUAAACCGCUUUCGCCUGUGACGAAGCGUGAGUGACGGUAAUGGGUAAAGAAGCACCGGCUAACUACGUG
Molecule: ribosomal RNA, 468 nt
Filed under: uncultured bacterium
Lineage: Bacteria
Description: partial 16S ribosomal RNA
Rfam family: Bacterial small subunit ribosomal RNA
Source: RNAcentral